GAUGAACGCUGGCGGCGUGCCUAAUACAUGCAAGUCGAGCGAACAGACGAGGAGCUUGCUCCGCUGACGUUAGCGGCGGACGGGUGAGUAACACGUGGAUAACCUACCUAUAAGACUGGGAUAACUUGGGGAAACCGGAGCUAAUACCGGAUAAUAUAUUGAACCGCAGGGUGCAAUAGUGAAAGACGGUGUUGCUGUCACUUAUAGAUGGAUCCGCGCCGCAUUAGCUGGUUGGUAAGGUAACCGCUUACCAAGGCAACGAGGCGUAGCCGACCGGAGAGAGGGAUAGCCGACCCGGGAGCUUAGCCAGCGACCAGACGCCUGAGGGAGGCAGCAGUAGGGAAUCUUCCGCAAUGGGCGAAAGCAUGACGGAGCAACGCGGCGUGAGUGAUGACGGUCUUCGGAGCGUAAAACUCUGUUAUUAGGGAAGAACAAAUGUGUAAGUAACUAUGCACGUAGUGACGGUACCUAAUCAGAAAGCCACGGCUAACUACGUG
RNAcentral lists this ribosomal RNA (497 nucleotides) under uncultured bacterium. Its description in RNAcentral is "partial 16S ribosomal RNA". It matches the Rfam family "Bacterial small subunit ribosomal RNA", at positions 28 to 507 of the family's 1533-position model. The record is from RNAcentral.